RNAcentral lists this ribosomal RNA (253 nucleotides) under uncultured bacterium. RNAcentral's name for it is "partial 16S ribosomal RNA". It matches the Rfam family "Bacterial small subunit ribosomal RNA", at positions 524 to 776 of the family's 1533-position model. The record is from RNAcentral.
UACGUAGGGGCCUAGCGUUGUCCGGAUUUAUUGGGCGUAAAGAGCGUGUAGGCGGCCAUACAGGUCAGCUGUGAAAACUCGAGGCUCAACCUCGAGACGUCGGUUGAAACCGUAUGGCUAGAGUCCGGAAGAGGAGAGUGGAAUUCCCGGUGUAGCGGUGAAAUGCGCAGAUAUCGGGAAGAACACCCGUGGCGAAGGCGGCUCUCUGGGACGGUACUGACGCUGAGACGCGAAAGCGUGGGGAGCGAACAGG